CGGUAUUCUGCAAUAGCCCACAUUGGGUGAAUAUUUUUGUAUGCUGCAUAGUGUAGCAUACAGUUCUUCAAGUAGACUCCAAGGAUUUCCUGUAUAUAUGAUAUGAAAGAGUGACGGAUGGUUAGGAACCUUUGGAGAGAGGACGUACCUGUUGAGGAAAAUCACCAUCUGCCAGUUGAGAACUAUAUAUCAUCCAUAUAGAAGAAACCAAGGCAAACAGAGUGAAUCUUGCUUUAAGGCAUGGAAAUAAUCCAUGGUCUGAGGAGAAGCUUUUACAGCAAAUUCAAUGGGAAGUGAAGAUCCAUUUUAUUUCCCAAGCAUGAAAUCAUCACAAAAUCUGUUGAAACAAGUGGCUUAUAUUAUGAACGACCGUCCGGACGGUUUGAGGAAGCGUCCGAAUGCCCUCCGGUGUUCGGUGAAGUAUCCAAACGAUUCAGCAGACAGCAAAAAAUAGGGAGCUAGUGUUUGUAAAGAUGUCUGGACAAUACAGCAGACGCGACCCACCUAGAGCACAUGUUUGCUCAAGUGUCAAGACGCAAAUGCAGCAACUGCAAACAGUGAACCUCUUAUACGAGCGUUCAGACGCUAGGGCGUAGCCGUCAGGACGCAGGCCUUGGAAAAACGGGGAUUGAUGCGUGGGGAACUAGGGUUUUUUGGGGAGAUGCAGGGUUUACU
This is a long non-coding RNA of Alnus glutinosa, 675 nucleotides long. RefSeq lists it as uncharacterized. The record is from RefSeq and is a predicted model, not a curated record. The transcript is spliced from 3 exons. NCBI's taxonomy places the organism in Eukaryota, Viridiplantae, Streptophyta, Magnoliopsida, Fagales, Betulaceae.